This 74-nucleotide transfer RNA is filed under the name Loxodonta africana (African savanna elephant). It matches the Rfam family "tRNA". From Rfam's summary of the family: Transfer RNA (tRNA) molecules are approximately 80 nucleotides in length. Lineage: Eukaryota; Metazoa; Chordata; Mammalia; Proboscidea; Elephantidae. The record is from Rfam by way of RNAcentral.
GCCAGGGUGGUGCAAAUGGUUAAUGAGCUCGGCUACUAACUGAAAGGUUGGUGGUUUGAGUCCACCCAUUGGCA